Molecule: ribosomal RNA, 468 nt
Filed under: uncultured bacterium
Lineage: Bacteria
Description: partial 16S ribosomal RNA
Rfam family: Bacterial small subunit ribosomal RNA
Source: RNAcentral
GACGAACGCUGGCGGCGUGCUUAACACAUGCAAGUCGAACGGAAAGGCCCUGCUUUUGUGGGGUGCUCGAGUGGCGAACGGGUGAGUAACACGUGAGUAACCUGCCCUUGACUUUGGGAUAACUUCAGGAAACUGGGGCUAAUACCGGAUAGGAGCUCCUGCUGCAUGGUGGGGGUUGGAAAGUUUCGGCGGUUGGGGAUGGACUCGCGGCUUAUCAGCUUGUUGGUGGGGUAGUGGCUUACCAAGGCUUUGACGGGUAGCCGGCCUGAGAGGGUGACCGGCCACAUUGGGACUGAGAUACGGCCCAGACUCCUACGGGAGGCAGCAGUGGGGAAGAUUGCACAAUGGGCGGAAGCCUGAUGCAGCAACGCCGCGUGCGGGAUGACGGCCUUCGGGUUGUAAACCGCUUUCGCCUGUGACGAAGCGUGAGUGACGGUAAUGGGUAAAGAAGCACGGGCUAACUACGUG